GUUUUUCGUUUUCCUAUAAAAGUUUUAUUCUAGCUAGGAAAUUCCCUGUUGGAUUGGUUCACAUGUAAGGAGUAAUCGUGUUGUGGAGGGUUUGCCUAAAAGGUGCUCGAUGAUUGGAGUGAUAUUCGCAGUGUUUUGUAUUGGUUGUCAAGAAACUUUGGAUCCGGUAAUUUGAAUAGCUCCGGCAAAACUCGUGCCAGCCGCCGCGGUUACACGAAGGGGGUAAGGGUAUUUUAUUGGUUUGUAAUUGGCUUUGUGGAUUGGCUAGAGAGAAAGGUUUGUUGGGUGAAAUUUUAAACCUCAAGUUAGUCAGAGAAAGGGUAAGCGAAGUUAUGAAAUCUGGGGAGAAAACUAGGAUUAGAUACCCUACUAUUCCAGAUGUUAAGUAGAAACCAGAGUAGUAAUAGUUAUGUUCUUGAAACUCAAAGAAUUUGGCGGUGUUUUAGUCCGCUCAGAGGAACCUGUCCCAUGAUCGAUAAUCCACGUUAGACUUAACUUGGGGUUAUUUAGCUUGUAUACCGCCGUCGAAAGAGGAAUUCAGAAGAAUCCCCUCUAAUCCCUGCAGUAAGGUAGAUGUCAGGUCAAGGUGCAGCUUAUCCUUAAGGGGAGAUGGGUUACAAUAAGGGUACUUAAACGGAAGUUCGCGGGGAGAAGUGAACUAGAAGGUGGAUUUGAAUGUAAUUGGGGUUUAAUUAAACCCCAUGAAAGAGGCUCUAAAACAAGCACACAUCGCCCGUCGCUCUCGUUUAUUUAAGGCGAGAUAAGUCGUAACAAAGUAGGUGUACCGGAAGGUGCUUCUAGAAUGAAA
This 808-nucleotide non-coding RNA is filed under the name Maccaffertium vicarium. RNAcentral describes it as "12S ribosomal RNA". It matches the Rfam family "Microsporidia small subunit ribosomal RNA". Lineage: Eukaryota; Metazoa; Arthropoda; Insecta; Ephemeroptera; Heptageniidae. The record is from RNAcentral.